RNAcentral lists this transfer RNA (72 nucleotides) under Ictidomys tridecemlineatus (thirteen-lined ground squirrel). RNAcentral's name for it is "Spermophilus tridecemlineatus (thirteen-lined ground squirrel) tRNA". It matches the Rfam family "tRNA". From Rfam's summary of the family: Transfer RNA (tRNA) molecules are approximately 80 nucleotides in length. The record is from Rfam by way of RNAcentral. Lineage: Eukaryota; Metazoa; Chordata; Mammalia; Rodentia; Sciuridae.
GGUGUUGUAGCUCAGUGGUAGAGCACUUGCCUAGCACUUGUGGGACCCUGAGUUCGAUCCUUAGCAUCACAU